GGCUCAGGAUGAACGCUAGCGGCAGGCUUAAUACAUGCAAGUCGUGGGGCAGCAUGAGUAGCAAUACUUGAUGGCGACCGGCAAACGGGUGAGGAACACGUACACAACCUUCCUUCAAGCGGGGAAUAGCCCAGAGAAAUUUGGAUUAAUACCCAUAAUAUAUUUGAUAAGGCAUCUUAUUAAUAUUAAAGCUUCGGCACUUGAUGAUGGGUGUGCGGCUAAUUAGAUAGUUGGCGGGGUAACGGCCCACCAAGUCUACGAUCAGUAGCUGAUGUGAGAGCAUGAUCAGCCACACGGGCACUGAGACACGGGCCCGACUCCUACGGGAGGCAGCAGUAAGGAAUAUUGGACAAUGGACGAAAGUCUAAUCCAGCCAUGCCGCGUGAAGGAUUAAGGUCCUCUGGAUUGUAAACUUCUUUUAUAUGGGACGAAAAAAGGGCAUUCUUGCUCACUUGACGGUACCAUAUGAAUAAGCACCGGCUAACUCCGUG
RNAcentral lists this ribosomal RNA (491 nucleotides) under uncultured bacterium. RNAcentral describes it as "bacterial SSU rRNA". It matches the Rfam family "Bacterial small subunit ribosomal RNA", at positions 21 to 507 of the family's 1533-position model. The record is from RNAcentral.